AUCGCUUCCCAGCCUUUUGGCUAAAAUCAAGUAUAGUGUCCGUUCUUAUCACUUUAACAAUUGUGUUGUGCCAAAUUUAUCUAAUAAUAUACAUAACAGGAUCACUGGAUCUAAAAUCAAAAUAUCUUUUUGAUAUCUUUAAGUGAUAUCUUUAGGAGCCCUGGUGGCGCAGUGGGUAAAUGCCUAUACUGCAGCCAUU
This is a small nuclear RNA of Sceloporus undulatus (fence lizard), 199 nucleotides long. RefSeq annotates it as U2 spliceosomal RNA. Lineage: Eukaryota; Metazoa; Chordata; Lepidosauria; Squamata; Phrynosomatidae. The record is from RefSeq and is a predicted model, not a curated record. The transcript has a single exon.